GAUGAACGCUGGCGGCGUGCUUAACACAUGCAAGUCGAACGGGGUAUCCGCAAGGGUAUCUAGUGGCGAAUGGGUGAGUAACACGUAGGGAUCUGCCCUCCAGUGGGGAAUAACGCCGCGAAAGCGGUGCUAAUACCGCACGUGACCGCCUUCGGGCGGGAAGACUGGCGAACCGACGCUGGAGGAGGGACCUGCGGCCCACUCAGCUAGUUGGUAGGGUAACGGCCUACCAAGGCGACGACGGGAGGGGCCGUGGAGAGGGUGGUCCCCCGACCACC
Molecule: ribosomal RNA, 278 nt
Filed under: uncultured bacterium
Lineage: Bacteria
Description: partial 16S ribosomal RNA
Rfam family: Bacterial small subunit ribosomal RNA
Source: RNAcentral